CUCUGUGACUCCUACGGGAGGCAGCAGUGGGAAUAUUGCACAAUGGGCGCAAGCCUGAUGCAGCCAUGCCGCGUGUAUGAAGAAGGCCUUCGGGUUGUAAAGUACUUUCAGCAGUGAGGAAGGCGAGUACGUUAAUAGCGUGCUCGUUUGACGUUAGCUGCAGAAGAAGCACCGGCUAACUCCGUGCCAGCAGCCGCGGUAAUACGGAGGGUGCGAGCGUUAAUCGGAAUUACUGGGCGUAAAGCGCAUGCAGGUGGUUUGUUAAGUCAGAUGUGAAAGCCCCGGGGCUCAACCUCGGAAUUGCAUUUGAAACUGGCAGACUAGAGUACUGUAGAGGGGGUAGAAUUUCAGGUGUAGCGGUGAAAUGCGUAGAGAUCUGAAGGAAUACCGGUGGCGAAGGCGGCCCCCUGGACAGAUACUGACACUCAGAUGCGAAAGCGUGGGGAGCAAACAGGAUUAGAUACCCUGGUAG
Molecule: ribosomal RNA, 472 nt
Filed under: uncultured bacterium
Lineage: Bacteria
Description: bacterial SSU rRNA
Rfam family: Bacterial small subunit ribosomal RNA
Source: RNAcentral